GAUGAACGCUGGCGGCGUGCUUAACACAUGCAAGUCGAACGGACUUAUUCUUUGGGAAGCGAUUAGUUUACUAAGCGUGGAACUGUGAAUAAGUUAGUGGCGGACGGGUGAGUAACGCGUGGGCAACCUGCCUUGCACUGGGGGAUAACAGUUGGAAACGGCUGCUAAUACCGCAUAAGCGCACGCUACCGCAUGGUAGUGUGUGAAAAACUCCGGUGGUGUAAGAUGGGCCCGCGUCUGAUUAGUUAGUUGGCAGGGUAAUGGCCUACCAAGACGAUGAUCAGUAGCCGGCCUGAGAGGGUGAACGGCCACAUUGGGACUGAGACACGGCCCAAACUCCUACGGGAGGCAGCAGUGGGGAAUAUUGCACAAUGGGCGAAAGCCUGAUGCAGCAACGCCGCGUGAGGGAAGAAGGGUUUCGGCUCGUAAACCUCUAUCGACGGGGAAGAAAGAAAUGACGGUACCCGAGUAAGAAGCACCGGCUAACUACGUGCCAGCAGCCGCGGUAAUACGUAGGGUGCAAGCGUUAUCCGGAAUCACUGGGUGUAAAGGGUGAGUAGGCGGUUUGUUAAGUCACAUGUGAAAUCCCGGGGCUCAACCCCGGGACUGCAUGAGAAACUGGCGAACUAGAGUACAGGAGAGGUAAGCGGAAUUCCUAGUGUAGCGGUGAAAUGCGUAGAUAUUAGGAAGAACACCAGUGGCGAAGGCGGCUUACUGGACUGAAACUGACGCUGAGUCACGAAAGCGUGGGGAGCGAACAGGAUUAGAUACCCUGGUAGUCCACGCUGUAAACGAUGAGUGCUAGGUGUUGGGUAGAGAUACUCGGUGCCGCAGCUAACGCAAUAAGCACUCCACCUGGGGAGUACGAUCGCAAGAUUG
This 879-nucleotide ribosomal RNA is filed under the name uncultured bacterium. RNAcentral describes it as "bacterial SSU rRNA". It matches the Rfam family "Bacterial small subunit ribosomal RNA", at positions 28 to 896 of the family's 1533-position model. The record is from RNAcentral.